GACGAACGCUGGCGGCGUGCUUAACACAUGCAAGUCGAACGGAAAGGCCCUGCUUUUGUGGGGUGCUCGAGUGGCGAACGGGUGAGUAACACGUGAGUAACCUGCCCUUGACUUUGGGAUAACUUCAGGAAACUGGGGCUAAUACCGGAUAGGAGCUCCUGCUGCAUGGUGGGGGUUGGAAAGUUUCGGCGGUUGGGGAUGGACUCGCGGCUUAUCAGCUUGUUGGUGGGGUAGUGGCUUACCAAGGCUUUGACGGGUAGCCGGCCUGAGAGGGUGACCGGCGACAGUGGGACUGAGAUGCGGCCCAGACUCCUACGGGAGGCAGCAGUGGGGAAUAUUGCACAAUGGGCGGAAGCCUGAUGCAGCAACGCCGCGUGCGGGAUGACGGCCUUCGGGUUGUAAACCGCUUUCGCCUGUGACGAAGCGUGAGUGACGGUAAUGGGUAAAGAAGCACCGGCUAACUACGUG
RNAcentral lists this ribosomal RNA (468 nucleotides) under uncultured bacterium. RNAcentral describes it as "partial 16S ribosomal RNA". It matches the Rfam family "Bacterial small subunit ribosomal RNA", at positions 28 to 507 of the family's 1533-position model. The record is from RNAcentral.